AGUGAACGCUGGCGGUAGGCCUAACACAUGCAAGUCGAACGGCAGCACAGUAAGAGCUUGCUCUUACGGGUGGCGAGUGGCGGACGGGUGAGGAAUACAUCGGAAUCUACUUUUUCGUGGGGGAUAAUGUAGGGAAACUUACGCUAAUACCGCAUACGACCUACGGGUGAAAGCAGGGGAUCUUCGGACCUUGCGCGAUUGAAUGAGCCGAUGUCGGAUUAGCUAGUUGGCGGGGUAAAGGCCCACCAAGGCGACGAUCCGCAGCUGGUCUGAGAGGAUGAUCAGCCACACUGGAACUGAGACACGGUCCAGACUCCUACGGGAGGCGGCAGUGGGGAAUAUUGGACAAUGGGCGCAAGCCUGAUCCAGCCAUACCGCGUGGGUGAAGAAGGCCUUCGGGUUGUAAAGCCCUUUUGUUGGGAAAGAAAAGCAGCAGGUUAAUACCCCGCUGUUCUGACGGUACCCAAAGAAUAAGCACCGGCUAACUUCGUG
Molecule: ribosomal RNA, 492 nt
Filed under: uncultured bacterium
Lineage: Bacteria
Description: partial 16S ribosomal RNA
Rfam family: Bacterial small subunit ribosomal RNA
Source: RNAcentral